Molecule: microRNA, 21 nt
Filed under: Homo sapiens (human)
Lineage: Eukaryota; Metazoa; Chordata; Mammalia; Primates; Hominidae
Description: hsa-miR-4762-5p
Source: miRBase by way of RNAcentral
CCAAAUCUUGAUCAGAAGCCU